This 271-nucleotide unclassified non-coding RNA is filed under the name Peniophora albobadia. RNAcentral's name for it is "partial internal transcribed spacer region". The stretch from base 1 to 46 matches the Rfam family "Eukaryotic small subunit ribosomal RNA", at positions 1786 to 1831 of the family's 1831-position model. Lineage: Eukaryota; Fungi; Basidiomycota; Agaricomycetes; Russulales; Peniophoraceae. The record is from RNAcentral.
AAGUCGUAACAAGGUUUCCGUAGGUGAACCUGCGGAAGGAUCAUUAGCGAAGUUCGGAAUGCAUGUUCGAUGUUGAUGCUGCCCAGCAAUGGGAUGUACUCGCUCGGAUGUGUGUCCCUUCUCUAUCCACCCCAUUGUGAACCAAGUGUGUGAGCCGAAGAGAAAUCGGACGCUCGCAUGCAAACCUUUAACAUACCCCAAUGAAGUAUCAGAAUGUACCUUGCGUUAACUCGCACAAAUAUAACUUUCAACAACGGAUCUCUUGGCUCUC